CUGGCGCCCCGCCCACCGCGGUGUGGCGCGGUAGCGACUGAAGGUAGUGCGCGUCUGGAGCGUUUUGCACGCCGACCGACUUUUUGAUGCUGGUUUUGUUUUUUGUUUUGUUGACGGAUGUGAGUUCUUUUGAGACCAUGUCUCGCACCGAAGCCCAGGCUAACUUGGAAUUGGUGGCGAUCCUCCUGCCUCAACCUCCCACAAGUGCUGGGCUUAGGCUGAGCCGCAACACCCGCCCUAAGAUAUCUUGAAUGCAAGUGAUGGAGAUUUUGUUGGGUUUUUUGUUUUUGUUUUCCAGAACCCCAGGUGCCCUCUCUGCGCGGAGACGCCUUUGGGCUUGGGGCUGCAGUGCAAACGGCAAACAUUCCCGCGCUGCAGCCAGAGUCAGGGUAACUGAGGCUCCGGAAGCUUGCGGGCGCUUUACCGGGGGUGGCCUCCCCUCUGUCAUUCCAGGAGGUGGGAAGGAGCCGCCGUGUCCGCUUUGCCCACGACACAAGGACUGUCCCUCCUCGUUGUUAGCAACGCUGCCUUCAUCUUCCGGACGAGAAAAGAGCUGUAAGAAUGACGUCGGUUUGCUCGUCCCCGCGCGAUGCUCGCCAGGGAACACGCGAGCGAGCAUAGACUUCGGGGAGCGGAGGAACCUGCAGGACUUAGCAAAAAGCGCUCCGGGACCACAGCGAGGCCAGCUAGGUGGCGUCCUAAGAGCCUGGACGGCCGCUGCGGUCUACAGUGUGUUCGAGGCGGCGUGUCCCCCUACAAAAGCCACCCACAAGCUCUGGGAUGGGGCUGGGAGUGGUCGGGUUUAGAAAUGCAUAGUAUAUCCUAGUACUUUGAAGCCUCAAAGUACCCACCUAAGAUAGACUAAAUCGGCGGCUGUCCCUUGAAACGG
Molecule: long non-coding RNA, 889 nt
Organism: Mus musculus (house mouse)
Lineage: Eukaryota; Metazoa; Chordata; Mammalia; Rodentia; Muridae
Product: RIKEN cDNA 1700001G17 gene
Exons: 1
Source: RefSeq, marked validated